Bradysia coprophila is the source of this 146-nucleotide long non-coding RNA. The record is from RefSeq and is a predicted model, not a curated record. NCBI's taxonomy places the organism in Eukaryota, Metazoa, Arthropoda, Insecta, Diptera, Sciaridae.
GUUACACUCGAGAGGUGGCAUGGUGGCGCUGAUGCUAAUCGGCACCCAAAAAUUACAUGGGCACCCAGACAUGUUUAGAAAUGACAGCGCCACCAUGCCAUCUGUCGAGUGAAAAUAAAUAACUUAAAAAAUCAAGUUCAGACGAU